This 433-nucleotide ribosomal RNA is filed under the name uncultured bacterium. Its description in RNAcentral is "partial 16S ribosomal RNA". It matches the Rfam family "Bacterial small subunit ribosomal RNA", at positions 29 to 506 of the family's 1533-position model. The record is from RNAcentral.
ACGAACGCUGGCGGCAGGCUUAACACAUGCAAGUCGAACGCGUGCAGCAAUGCACGAGUGGCGCACGGGUGAGUAACGAGUGGAUAUCUGCCUUUUGGUUCGGAAUAACCCCGGGAAACUGGGGCUAAUACCGGAUGGUUCCUACGGGAUAAAGAUUUAUCGCCAAAAGAUGAGUCCGCGUCCGAUUAGCUAGUUGGUGAGGUAAUGGCUCACCAAGGCGACGAUCGGUAGCUGGUCUGAGAGGACGAUCAGCCACACUGGGACUGAGACACGGCCCAGACUCCUACGGGAGGCAGCAGUGGGGAAUAUUGGACAAUGGGGGCAACCCUGAUCCAGCCAUGCCGCGUGAGUGAUGAAGGCCUUCGGGUUGUAAAGCUCUUUUGGCGGGGACGAUGAUGACGGUACCCGCAGAAUAAGCCCCGGCUAACUUCGU